GAAAUAGAACCUGAAACCGUGUACGUACAAGCAGUAGGAGCCCACUUGUUGGGUGACUGCGUACCUUUUGUAUAAUGGGUCAGCGACUUAUAUUUUGUAGCGAGGUUAACCGAAUAGGGUAGCCGUAGGGAAACCGAGUCUUAACUGGGCGACUAGUUGCAAGGUAUAGACCCGAAACCCGGUGAUCUAGCCAUGGGCAGGUUGAAGGUUGAGUAACAUCAACUGGAGGACCGAACCCACUAACGUUGAAAAGUUAGGGGAUGACCUGUGGCUAGGAGUGAAAGGCUAAUCAAACCGGGAGAUAGCUGGUUCUCCCCGAAAUCUAUUUAGGUAGAGCCUCGGACGAAUACUUACGGGGGUAGAGCACUGUUAAGGCUAGGGGGUCAUCCCGACUUACCAACCCUUUGCAAACUCCGAAUACCGUAAAGUAAUAUCCGGGAGACACACGGCGGGUGCUAACGUCCGUCGUGAAGAGGGAAACAACCCAGACCGCCAGCUAAGGUCCCAAAGUCAUAGUUAAGUGGGAAACGAUGUGGAAAGGCCCAGACAGCCAGGAGGUUGGCUUAGAAGCAGCCAUCCUUUAAAGAAAGCGUAAUAGCUCACUGGUCGAGUCGGUCUGCGCGGAAGAUGUAACGGGGCUAAACUAUGCACCGAAGCUGCGGAUUCAGAAUUUAUUCUGAGUGGUAGGGGAGCGUUCUGUAAGCGGUUGAAGGUGUACCGGGAGGUAUGCUGGACGUAUCAGAAGUGCGAAUGCUGACAUGAGUAACGAUAAUGGGAGUGAAAAACUCCCACGCCGGAAGACCAAGGGUUCCUAUCCCAUGUUAAUCAGGGUAGGGUAAGUCGACCCCUAAGGCGAGGCCGAAAGGCGUAGUCGAUGGGAAACAGAUUAAUAUUUCUGUACUCGAUAUAAUUGCGAUGGGGGGACGGAGCAGGCUAAACAAGCAUGGCGUUGGUAGUCCAUGUGAAAGUGAGUAGGUUGGCGACUUAGGUAAAUCCGGGUUGCUAUUAAGACUGAGACACGAGACGAGUCACUACGGUGAUGAAGUUGUUGAUGC
Molecule: ribosomal RNA, 1055 nt
Filed under: Pseudoalteromonas sp. SWYJZ98
Lineage: Bacteria; Pseudomonadati; Pseudomonadota; Gammaproteobacteria; Alteromonadales; Pseudoalteromonadaceae
Description: partial 23S ribosomal RNA
Rfam family: Bacterial large subunit ribosomal RNA
Source: RNAcentral